Melozone crissalis (California towhee) is the source of this 363-nucleotide non-coding RNA. The record is from the annotation of a RefSeq genome assembly. Lineage: Eukaryota; Metazoa; Chordata; Aves; Passeriformes; Passerellidae.
CGGGUGGCCGUGUCCCUGCUGGAGUGCGGGGGGGACCUCCAGCCCCCCGGGGGGUCCCUGCGCCUCCUCUGCCGAGGCUCCGGGUUCAGUUUCGGUCAUUAUGAUCUGCACUGGAUCCGCCAGAGCCCCGGGCAGGGGCUGCAGUGGGUGGCCGCCAUUGACAGCCACGGUGGCACCUACUACGCGCCGUCACUGCGGGGCCGGGUCGCGAUCUCCAGGGACAACGGGCAGCACUCCAUGUCCCUGACCAUGAACAACCUCAAGGACGAGGAUUCCGGAUCCUAUUUCUGCGCCAAGGAUUCCAGCACUAACAUUGCUGCUGGUGCCCUCGAAUCUGUUGACCCGUUUAAAGACCUCAGUUGA